ACCUACGGGACGCAGCAGUAGGGAAUAUUGCACAAUGGGGGAAACCCUGAUGCAGCGACGCCGCGUGAAGGAUGAAGUAUUUCGGUAUGUAAACUUCUAUCAGCAAGGAAGAAAAUGACGGUACUUGACUAAGAAGCCCCGGCUAAAUACGUGCCAGCAGCCGCGGUAAUACGUAUGGGGCAAGCGUUAUCCGGAUUUACUGGGUGUAAAGGGAGCGUAGGCGGCCUGGCAAGCCUGAUGUGAAAUACCGGGGCCCAACCCCGGGGCUGCAUUGGGAACUGCCAGGCUGGAGUGCCGGAGAGGCG
This 305-nucleotide ribosomal RNA is filed under the name uncultured bacterium. RNAcentral's name for it is "bacterial SSU rRNA". It matches the Rfam family "Bacterial small subunit ribosomal RNA", at positions 337 to 659 of the family's 1533-position model. The record is from RNAcentral.